GGUGUUUCAGGCUGGGGUAUAAGCUG
RNAcentral lists this non-coding RNA (26 nucleotides) under Cricetulus griseus (Chinese hamster). Lineage: Eukaryota; Metazoa; Chordata; Mammalia; Rodentia; Cricetidae. The record is from RNAcentral.